This 2258-nucleotide long non-coding RNA is filed under the name Zea mays. Its description in RNAcentral is "long non-coding RNA (ZMAY_LNC004311)". The record is from RNAcentral. Lineage: Eukaryota; Viridiplantae; Streptophyta; Magnoliopsida; Poales; Poaceae.
UUCCAUACCCUUCCGUAUAUUGUUGUUUCCUGUACUGCAGCUUGAAUGUGAAGAUUCACUUUUGCAAACAUGAACUAUACCCAUCUCUGCUACGAGCAGACAGACAUGGCGACGUGCCGAGGCAACCUUUGCUGCUGUGGCAACAAAGACAGGGUAGGACUGAAUAACAAUUAAACGUACAUGAGUGUAUUGACUACCUAGUAAAGCAGAAUUCAAACAAGACAAACCAGGUAUAUAAUACAAUUUGCUUGCCCAUAUCGAUGUGUCAACAAAUUUUCAAAUCUGUAACAUAGUCUAAAACUGUUCAACAAUCUAGCGAAAGAUAGAUACAGAAUCACCUAAAUAGAAAAGCAUAUAAUGCAGGGCCCAAUACAAUUACACAGAAAAGAAACUCCAAACAAUCACCUUAAUCCUUGCUGAUUUUUGGACAGCAGAACAACAACUAUUCGUUUAGCUCAUAACUCACAAGAUAUUCAUGCAAAAAUAGUAAACUAGGACUUUAUAAAAAGCUUAUAAAGUCUUCUACAUCUUUUGUAUUACAAUCAGAACAAGGUUCGACCUUUAGAAAGGUCAAACAGUGCUAAACAUAAAUUCUGUCCAGAUUUGGACAGAAUUCGACUACUUACUUCAAAAAUCCAUAACUGGAGUUUCAGGCAUCCAAAUCAGGUGAUCCUAGACUUUUUAGAAAGCUAAUAUAAUUGUCUACAAUUCAUUUAUAAACAUCCCAGGUUAAUUCAAUAUAUAUCAAGGUCAGAAAACAUGAGAAAGACUCUGCUGUUCAAAUUUGGACAGAUUCAGAGAUCACACUUCAAACAGCUGUCACUUAACUUAUAGAUCACCAAAAAGGGUGAUCCAAGACUUUUUGGAAAGCUUAAAAAAGUACUACAAUUAUUCUAUAAUUACUAAGGGUUGAUUCUCAGUUUAGCUUAGCCAAACAGUACAAUUUUUGAAACCUGUACAGAAUUUGGACAGAUUCUAAAACAGGACUUAAGAAAAUCAUAACUCCUAAACUACUAAACCUAUGAUCAUGAAAUUUUUACACAAGUAAGAUAAAGAAGUUACCUACAACUUUUCUAUAUAACAUUUCUACAGAAAACAUGGUUUACUUCAUUGAACUAGCUCCUUACGAAACUGGACAUGCAGUCCCAAACAGCAAGCGUUCCAUUUAGCUCCUAUUUGGUUUUUACAAUUAUCAUGUGCUUGACACUUUCUAAUCGCAUAUAUAGAUUUCUGCUAUUUUAUAACCAUGAAUCCAUUUACUUCACAUAAUCUAGUAUUUUGAACCUACUCUGACAUUAUGCAAACAAAGAAUCAAUUUAAGUACACUAUGCAUACACAUAUAUUCAUCCAAGCACAUUCCAUACAAUAUCAUCACCAAGAACUCAUUUUUAUUACACUAUGCAUAUAAAGUCGCUCUCUCUAUUCACCAAAUAUAUGACAUACAACAUACCAUCACAAGGACAAAAGAGAAAAGAGAGAAACAAGCAUUCCCUGACAACAACCCAUAUUCGCCUAGAACCUUUGAUUAAUCAACAUGAUAGAAGAUAAUGAUGACUAAGACUGAUCUUCAGCUUCAUAAAAUAAUUGGCUAAUUUACUUGCAAUAACACUACCUCCCUUGUGCAGUCCUCGGCACAACACUACACUAUAUGCCUAUCAAGAGUAUUCAUCCCAUAAUCAUGUAAUAACCCAUCUAAUAUUAUAUCAAAUCAUACAUCUACCUAUCAAACACGCAUAUAACCAUAUUACGACAUAUAAGGAGUCAUUUCAUCAGAAAUUCAUAUCGAAGCUAAUCCUAACAACACUCCGAAACAUAAAAGACAUACCACUUAAUUCAAACAAGACAAACCAGGUAUAUAAUACAAUUUGCUUGCCCAUAUCGAUGUGUCAAUAAAUUUUUAAAUCUGUAACAUAGUCUAAAACUGUUCAACAAUCUAGCGAAAGAUAGAUACAGAAUCACCUAAAUAGAAAAGCAUAUAAUGCAGGGCCCAAUACAAUUACACAGAAAAGAAACUCCAAACAAUCACCUUAAUCCUUGCUGAUUUUUGGACAGCAGAACAACAACUAUUCGUUUAGCUCAUAACUCACAAGAUAUUCAUGCAAAAAUAGUAAACUAGGACUUUAUGGAAAGCUUAUAAAGUCUUCUACAUCUUUUGUAUUACAAUCAGAACAAGAUUCGACCUUUAGAAAGGUUAAACAGUGCUAAACAUAAAUUCUGUCCAGAUUUGGACAGAAUUCGACUACUUACUUCAAAAAUCC